GUAUUAAACUGUGGGCAAAUCACAUUAAUAUCAUAUACUACCAUCAAUAGUUGUAGAAGUACAAAUACAUAAGAGAAUUUUUCCCAAUGUGCUACGAAACACUGAGAGUAUCAAAACAGCAUCAGUUAGCUAUCUAAAACAAUUACACACCUACUCUGAAAUCAAAAUGAACAGCGUUUUUGCCUCUUUAUUCACCCAGGACGCCUAGCUCACUAUCACAUGCUCUUCUAGUGUGGUCUUUGACAGAUGUAUGACCAACUGCAGAAAAUAACUUGUAGCAAGAACAGUACGCUUGUUCCGCUAUUUCUGUACUGCAACUCAAACUGAAGCCAAUUUCCUAUACCACCAACAAACCAAAAUACUAAUAAUUCCAUUUCGUUGGAAGGUAGCAACCAGUUUCGUAGUCAUGCAUCCAUCCAUCCUCCUCUUCUUCUUCUUCUUCUUCUUCCUCCUCUGCUUGCUGAAGCAAGUAUUUCUCUAACAUUUGAUGUACAUUAUCCUCUCCCAAUUUAAUACUAAAAUCAUCCCCAAUGUCUAUCGUAAGCAAACAACGACAUUCCCUCACAAUCAAAUAUAAAUCUUCUCUAGAAAAUAUAAUACCUCGCAGGACGAUAUUACGUACUUGUUGCAGGUUUUUAGCAAUUAGACUUGCACAGCUCUCGACUUGAACUUUUCGGGUUAAUUUUUCAGUUUCAGAGCAGUAGAGUUUAAAUGUAUCCAAAGGCAAUGUGCCCACUACUUGAAGUAACUCUUCUGUCUCUUCACCUUCACACAUUAAGCAAGGACACACAUGUAGUUCUUUUAGAACUGGACAAUUGUACAGUAAAGUAAUCAGCCCAUCUACUGUUACUUUGAGUAAGGCACCCUUAAAACUUUGAGUAAGAAAAAAAAUUUCAGAUCGUUCAGAAACAAAUCAUUGGAUGCAACAUUGUCACAAAACCUACAAGAUCUUUUAACUAUACUUCGAAAAGAGAAAAAACAAUGGAUGAUGAUGAUGAUGAUGAUAACAACUACACUUCGAAAAGACUUAACCAACUCACACUACUGGAUAGUAUAACUAUUACUUUCUCUUGGGAAUUUCAUCAAACAAGUAAAGAUGGAGAAGAGAAGUGAAAGAAACCUAACAAGAUCUUUUAAAGUUUUAAUAGGCAAAGUUUACAUCUGAUCACUCAUCAAGUUAUUGGUUCUUGAUUUUCAACGGUCACAUAACAUGCGUUUAUCACGUGAGUAAACUAUGGCGGCAAAGUGACUCUGCUGAUGAUCAUCUGCUCCCCGAUUUACUAAACAACAUUUAGCUCUAGGGCAAAACAGUAAAUACAUUACGUCACCUCAACCUAAAGCCAUCAGGUGACACGUGUUAUAUACACAAAUGUUAGUCUAGAAAGCAGCGCCAAUAGGUCGUGUGAUCGUGUGUCGUGCCAUAACGGGUUUUAAGUCCAAACCCAAACCGGACUUGUUUAUUAAUUCGGUUAUUUUAAACAUAGUUGAAAACGUUGAUUUGAAAAAAAUGGAUAUAUCCAAAAUUUUGACACUAGAAAACUAAUUAUAUGUUAUAAUUUAUGGAAUAUUCAUGAAUAUUCUAAUAUCCGAUUUCUAGGAAGACAGAUAUAUUCAUCGAAUAUUCACAAACUUUUGCGAUUUUUUCGCCUAUAAUUUUAACUAAACCUGGCUUACCAAUAACAAAACGGGUCAACUUAUUAUAACCCAUUUAAAUUUAACUUGUGUAUAAACAUCGAGAAAUAUUUAAAUUAAAAACAAUAUAAAUAAAAACACCACAAAAAUGUGUUAUUAUAUUUCAUAUCUACAAUGUUUUUGUUGGAAUUAUUUCUAAGAUUUGUAAAAAAAAAUAGAGCUAUUUAGAGAUACCCUCAGAAAAAUUGUACUCUUUGAGAUACCCCCCAGAUUUAAAAAUCAUUAGAGAUACCCCCAGAUUUUCAUUUCAAGCCGGUCAACUGAGCCAUUGACCUAUGUUUGACCCAUCUUUAUGUUCUUUAGACCAAAAUACCCUUCUUUUAUUUGAACCUUAAUCCUAGUCAUCUACUUGUAUGCCAUGUCGGCAAAACCUUUAACAUAAACAAAUUUUACUCACACCCAACAUCCAUACCCCAUUAAUCCAAGAACUUUAAUAGUGGAGAAAUUAGUGGACUUAAUAGUGGUGGUGGAGAAAUUGGUGGUUUUUGUAGUUGUGUUGGGUGAUUUACGAGUACAAAAGAAGAGAAAAAAAUUGUUUGUGUGAGAAAAAAAGGAGAAAGAAGAUUUAGUAGUGGUGGUGGAGGUAUUAGUGGUUGUGGGGUGAUUUAUGAGAAUAAGAGAGAGAAGAUUUUUUUGUGUGAGAAAAAGAUUAGAGAGAAUAUUUAGUAUUGGGGGUGGAGAAAUUAUGGUACACAUUUUUAUCAUCAGACCAAUUGUACACCAGAAUAUCAGCAUGAUGUAAUGUUGAUUUAAUAACUUAGGAUCAAUAUGUAUUCACUAUUGUGUCAUAUAUUUUUCGAAUUCCAAUAAAACAAACCCUUUAAAAAUGUUUUUAUUCUUUUAAUAGAAAAUAUAUAUUUUUUUUUUAUUAUAUUAAAUUUAUCCCUUUUUCAUGCACUCAAUUUUGAGAUUUCUUUCAAAUUUUUUUCCCACCCAUAUUAUUGAUCAGGGAAAUUGAGAUAGAAUUAGUUCGGUCACAUUUAGAUGUGACAGUUUGAACCCGAACCUGCCAAAGUUUGGGUUAAUAUAAAUGAGUUUAAGACAAAGCUGGGCAAAUUAACACUAAAAUCGAUAAACCAAACCGAACACAAUCGAACCGAAUAUGUUGGAAGGUGUUACAAUGUUUAAGUGUUUGGUUUUGGUUGGAUUUUUUUCCAAAACAAAAAUAAUAUAUUUGGCUUCGGUUCCAAAAUUCCUAAACACGUUAGAAUUGUUGGGUUUGGGUUUGAAAAACCAACUUACUAAUGCUAACCCAUUAGUAUAACCUGUUUAUAUUAAUUAAUCAUAUUCAAAAUAUAAUUUAUAAACUCCAUACAAUUAAUUUAAUAUUAAAAUAAAAUAUUAUACAAAUAACUAUUUCGUGUAUAUAUUCAAUCAUACAUAUUACCUUGUUUUUCUUAUUUUUUUAGCUAUUUAGAGAUACCCCCGGAAAAGUUUGCACUCUUUGAGAUACCCCCCAGAUUUUCAUUUUAAGUCGGUCAACUUUUAUAUUAACAAAAAUACCCUUCUCAAUUGAAGUUAUAUCCUAGUCAUCCAACCCAAUUACGAUGUAUGCCAUAUCAUGUAAACUUAGAUCUAAUCCUAACUAUUCAAUAAGAUAAAACCCUCAAAUCUAAUCCUAUGGUUAGAAACCAAUUUUUUUUUCUCCAACUCUUCUUCCUUCUUCUCAACCACCAAUUCCGAAUACAUGAAGAACUACCAUGUGUCACUAGACUUGCGCUUCAUCUGAAAGGUAUGCAUGUGUGUGUCUUCAAUCCUAACGACACGCCAGAACAAGUAAAGGAAAAGGCUAAAAAUCAGAAAUCAUCUUUGACUGCAUAUUUCGAUUGGUAUAGAUAAAAUCCUACUACUAAAGCUUAUACUUACCAACAAUUUCCUGAACAUUUUAGAUGGUGCAAGGAUAACAAGAAAUGGACACCAAGAGUUACUUCAGCCUUUUCUAUUGGUCGGAUGUAUUUUACCAAUCCAAAUUCUGGUGAAAGAUUUUACCUUAGGUUACUAUUAACCGUUGUGAAAGGACCAUCGUCAUUUGAAUCCUUAUAUAGUGUGGAUGGCAUCGAACAUAAGACAUACAGAGAAGCAUGCAUUGCUCGUGGUCUUCUAGAAGAUGACAAUGAAUGGGACAAAUGCCUAGAAGAAGCUGUAAUAAUGAAAACUAGUCAUCAGGUACUUGCAAUUUAUGUUUAAAUUCUUUUUAUAUGUCUAAAUAUUAAAACUGUUUUAUCUAAAUAUGGAAACUGUUUACUGUUGCAUCUAUAGCUAUAAACACUGUUGCAUCUAUAGCUACAGUGUAGCAUCUGGACAUGUUUUCCAAGUGCACCGAGCUACUUUAAGAUCUCGAUACCCAGACAGACAACUCAAUCCCAUUGUUGUUGUUGUUAAAGUUACGCAUCCUGGUAUCAAGGAUUCAAUUAAGAGGGAUUUUAUUAUUAUCGAGUCCUUUGCCAACACACACCAUAACAGUCCCUAAUAAUUUACCCUUCCACCUGCUGCACUAUAGCCUUCAGUUUCAUUGAAUAAUAUACUUACUGAUGUAUUCCCUUGCUGUUUUACUUUGCAGAAAAUAAUUAUUAAAUUCCAUAUAUUUUGUUUAUUGAAAAUCCGCCACUAAUUCAUAGUUUUUAUAUGGUAAACAGGUACGGAGAUUAUUCUGUUUGAUCCUAACUGAAUGUAAUCCUUCUCGACCAGAAAUUCUAUGAGAGAAAAAUGCUUUAAAAAUAUGUGACGACUUGUCGUACCAACUGAAAACAAAAUUUGGCAUUCAAGAUCCCAGUGAUAGUGAUGUUUGUGACUAUGGGUUGUUCUUAAUGAACGACUACUUGCUGGAGAGUGGUAAGACAUUAUCAGAUUUUCCAAACAUGCCUUUACCGUGUAAAACAUGGAAUGAAGUAGUUACCAACCGUCUCAUUACAGAGCAUCAGAAUUUCGUGUAUCAGGGAUUAUAUGAAAAGGCUCAAGAAAAAGUUGCAAGAUUUAAUACUGAACAACUAAAUGCCUAUACAGAGAUUACAAAUUCUGUUCGUAAUGAUAGUGGACAAGUAUUUUUCCUAAGUGGUCUGGCUGGAACAGGAAAAACGUUCGUCUAUAAUAUUGUAGCAGAUACAUUGAGAAGUGAAGGUCAUAUUGUGAUAAUGGUUGCUUCAUCAGGAAUUGCAUCUUUAUUAUUGACAGGAGGAAGAACAGCUCAUUCUACAUUCAAAAUUUCAUUUGAAGUUCUAGACGACUUUGUUUGUUCAGUCACAAAGCAAACAAUCCAUGCAGAAUUAUUCAAGAGAGCGAAACUGAUUAUAUGGGAUGAAAUACCAAUGCAACAUAGGUUCUGCGUGGAGGCUGUUGAUCGUACACUAAGGGAUAUUCGUGAAAUUAAAGAACCGUUUGGAGGAGUUACAGUUGUUCUGGGCGGUGACUUCAAACAGACUCUCCCAUUCAUUACUAAAGGAACUAGACAAGAAAUUGUUCGUGCAUGUCUAACAAAAUCACAUUUGUGGAGUGGUGUUAGACUCUUAACUUUGGUUAAAAAUAUGCGACUGAACAGUAAUGAUACUGAAAAUGUCAAGUUCGCAGAUUAUUUGAUUGAGGUAAUUUUUAAAUUUCAACAAUAUUUGUUAUUUUCAUAUCUAGGUAAUUUUUAAAUUUCAACAAUAGUUCUUAUGUUUAUAUCUGCGUUUAAACCUUUGUUUAUUAUACCCUUAAUAUUAUAAUUUACAGAUAGGAACAAAUCCUAAAGAAGAUGUGGAAUUGCCUUCAGAGAUCAAAAGGUGUAAGAGUACCAUGGAUCUUUUGUUUAAAGUUUACCCCAAUCUGAAUGUGGAAGAGGUAGCUACCGAGACCUACUUGCAAGAACGAUCUAUUCUCUCUGCUCACAAUGAUGAUGUAGCUACUCUUAAUGAAUUAGCAAUAAAUCAUUUUCCCGCUGAAUUACAUGAGUACCUAGCUGCUGAUAAAACCAUUGAAGAUGAUCAACCAAUCGAGAAUAGGGGAAACAGUAUAUCAAACAAGAAUAUGCAAGCACUGGAUCCACCGAGUCUUCCACCAUUCAAACUCCAACUUAAAGUUGGUUGUCCAAUAAUGUUGCUACGGAACCUUCAACCGAGAGAUGGUUUAUGUAAUGGAACGCGUCUAAUGGUUGUCCAGUUUGCUACAAGAGUUAUAGAAGCAAAGAUACUUAAUGGUAGCCAUGCUGGAAAUUAUGUAUUCAUACCACGUAUAACUCUUCAACCAUCUGUUUCAGAAACGCCUUUCCAAAUGGCACGACGACAAUUCCCAGUUCGAUUGGCAUUUGCAAUGACUAUUAAUAAGUCACAAGGACAAUCAGUUAAGUAUGUGGCUUGCAAAACCAUGUCUUCAGUCAUGGCCAAUUAUAUGUGGCAUUAUCAAGGUGUACUUCUUCCAAUCGAAUAUCUGUUCUCCUAGGGAAUGAAGAUGAUGACAAAACAACCAAUGUUGUUUAUCCUGAAGUUCUUCUCUAAUUGAUUACAGGUAUGACCAGAUUACUCAUUCGUAAAGUACUAUUUUCCUCAAUUUUAUUACGUAUUCUAUCUCUCAUUUCUAUUUAAAUCUUUCUCCAGUUUCUGGUUUGAUAACUUUAGAAUUUAGAUUUUACAAUGGCAUUAAAUGCUUGGUAACAGUGAGACCAUUUUGCAAACGUUUCGAAAGAUUUGGGACCAAAUUGGCCAAUUUAAACUUUGGGGACUCAACUGAAAAUUUGGACAAAGUUAGGGGACCAAAAUAGCUAAUUUAUCGUUUUCAGUUGGAUUCUCAUUGUAUCAUCAUGAUUGUCCACUCUGGUAUGAUUAAUUGUUGUGACACACUAUUGGACUCCCAGACAAAUAUUGAAUUUUAAAUUCAAAAACUAUACUUUGGAGGUGCCCCAACAUUAAACAAUCUGUAACGUGUUAUGUGCUUGGGUUUGAAUUUUAUUUAGCACAUACCCAAACCUCAGUUUAAACUCCUUCAAUUAUGUUGUUGACUGAAUUAUUUGCAUUUUGCCUUUUAUUUUUUCAGUUGCAAAUUAUUCUAACUUUCCAGAUUGUGGCAAAGAUCAUCAAACAGUAGACUACAGAAGAGACUCAACAUCAAGAAUGAUUUCAGUCCAGAGCAAGAAAAGGUUAGGAAGGACAACCGGUGGGCCUUUGAAUGAAGGACCGAGAUAGAGUGUAAUUUGAGUGGACGGGAUCAUCAUUUUAUUUCCAUUGAAAAUAGUUACUUUUGUCUAGAGUUUUGGGCUAUUUGAUAUAUACUGGUUAGGGAAGAACUUUUAAUACUCUGCCAUUUGGUAAAUAUCUAAUACUAAUUUUAUUUAGUUUAUAUUAAUUGAUAUUGAUGUGAUAUGAUUCUGAUAUCAACUACCUAAUGAUAACUGCCCCUAUUUUGUUCAUACUUUUGUAAUGUCUGUUGGUGUUAGUGCAGUUAAUAACUCCACAAGGGAUGUUUGUUAUAUGUUUGUUCCAUAUGUCCCUGAGGAAGUAUUUAUUUUGGUUUUGAAUAUAUAUGUUUAGUUUUAGUCAUUCCGAAUUUGGAUGUUGGUCUUCAGUUUUGUUCUCUGGCUUCGUUUUGGGAUGCAUAUUAUUGUAUUCAUCAAUCAACCUUUUAUUAUAGAACCUGCUACUAUAUGAUCAUUGAGAUGUAAUUUCAAAAACCUGAAAAAUAUACAAAUGAUGUUUUUUUUUUAAUCAAAAACAAAGUUAGAGGACAAACGAGCUAUAAACUACGCUGUAAGCCUCUAUUAUUAUUAUUAUUAUUAUUAUUAUUAUUAUUAUUAUUAGUAAGCGAGGUUAACUUAACAGGGGCCCUCCCCCUAAAUUGUUGGAAAUACUAAUUAUGGCUGCUCAAAAGCUAUAGAGACGACCUUCAAUGCUUAGAGCAAAUAAAAAAACAUACAUACGACAAAAAUGCAAUGUUAUGUAAACUGUCAAUACAAACUACAAACACGUUGCUCCGAGUUUGUGACUUGAUAUAGAAUAUUUUAAGUAUAAUGAUAUAUCCAAGAUUUAAUUAAUUUUUAAUGCUUUCUUUCUUAUUCUUCUAAAACAUCCUUAACAGUAGUAAAAUUCACAGUACAAUUAUUACCAAGAGUGCAGACUACGGGAUUGCAACUUCAAGUUCAACCAACUCUAAAUCAUAUAUCAACUAAUCAAAAAAAAAUAAUAAUAGUUAAAUUUUAAUCGAACAAACAAAAUAUUUUAAUCUAAAUUAAAAUUUACUAUGCAGUAUAAAAUUAAUUGACAAUCGUGGCAGCGCCACGGGUUUUACUAGUAUAUAUAUAAAACAAAUCCUUUUAGAAAUCUGCAAGUCGUCCGAGGUCGAGGAGAGAGAAACAAUCGAGAGACAAAGCGAUCCUCCCUACUUACAAUCGGUAAGUAUUCUCUACUUAUUAUUAUUAUUAUUACUAAUCUCUAAUACGAAUACAUAAUCAGUUUGGAUUCGGAUUUAGAAAUUCAAUAGUUUGGAUUCUAUAAAUUCGGUUGCCAAUCGUCUUCAUCAUCAUCAUCAUCAUCAUCAUCGUUGUGGUCUUGCUAAGAAGUAGUAGGUAAAGAUGUCUACUUUAUCAUCAAUUGAACAACAAAGUUGCUUGGAUUGGUCACAACUUCCUGUAGAUGUUCUUAAGAUUUUAGCAAAAAAGAUUAAUUCAAUUGAAGAUCUUUAUAGUUUUGGUGGAGUUUGUAGUUCAUGGAGAUGUGUUACUCUUUCAAUUCGAAAUGAUCAAAACAAAACCCUUCCUUGGUUAAUGCUUACUGCUGAUUGUAAUCAUGGUUAUCGAGAUUUCUAUAGUGUUGCUGAAAAAAAAACUUACCGUUUAAAUUUGCCCCAAGUAUUUCAUAGCCAUCAUUGUUAUGGUUCUCCUUUUGGUUGGUUGUUUAAUUUACGUCAUAUAACAGGAGAAUGUUACCUUUUCAAUCCUUUCUCUUCUUCUUCUUCUUCUCCUACUAGAUGUCUUCCUCUUCCACCACUUCGGACAUGUCCUGGUCGGUUUGAUGACAUUGCCAAUUUUCGUCUCAGGCAGUACAUCUUUAAAGCAGCUGUGUUCCAAUUUCCUCACCAGGACUUGAAACAAUAUGACAACCAUAACCAGUUUCUAGUUUUUAUAAUCCAUGGGGUACAUAAGAAUCUGGCAUAUUGUAGAUCAGGCGACGCUUUUUGGACUGGAGUUGCAUUUCCAGAUACGUCAUCAUCGUCUCAAGAUCAACUAGAUAUCUUACAACUCAAUGAUCAAUUUUACUCAGUUGAUUCUCAUGGAAGUAUUUGGUUGCUUUGUGAUGUUGCUUCUGGUGCUCCUAACCCCACAACAGCAAUUCCAUUUGCAUCCCCUCCUCCCAUGUCUGAGCAACUAAAAAAUAGAUGUGAAAGUAUGUUUUCUCUUAUUGAAAUGGGGGGAGAGUUGCAUGUGGCUGUCAGGUUUCAGCGUCGUAAGACCAGGAAGACAUGUCUUAUUGAAAUCUUCAAGUGCGAUCUGUCCACCCAUGAGUGGCAAAAGUUGAAAACAUUAGGCGACUAUGCUCUCUUCUUAGGAACUGGUACCUCCAUCUCUGUAAAGGCGUCUGAGUUCUCUGCAUGCAAUUGUGAGCCAGGUUACAUCUACUUUUGCUAUGCCGACUAUAAUUAUCCUUCAGUACAUGCCCCUCCCGAUAUCGGAAUCAUCAAUGUAGAUAGACAUGAAAUCGAGUAUUUGAAUGUAGGUGAUAAACGUACUCGUCGCUUCUCACUGCCUGCAUGGGUGACUCCAAAGCUACUGUAAAGCCACCUAUGUAUGAAAUUUUCAAACUUUCUGUUAUCAAUGAAUGCUAAUUUAUGGAGACACUCGUCUUUAAUCUAUUUGAUUGAUUAUGAAUGCUCAAGGAUUACAAUUUCAUCCUAAUGGUGUAUUGUAGCUGAUAAUAAUUGUUUACUACUAGUUAAUGGACCUAAACUUACCUAAAUGUUACUUUUGGCAAACUGUAAUGUUGUUCACCUGGUGCUCACAGUAUAGGAGUAGCUCACUGCCAGUUCUUUCGCAGCCGCCUAUACAAUUUCUCAGGGACUGGCUUACCUGACCCAUCUCUUGAACCUGAAUCUCUCCACCUGAUGAGGUCAAGACGUCAAUCAUCUGAUGACAGCAAGAGUCACACAGAGGAACCAGGGGUGAGUAUGGGCUAUGAUGGAGCAACAGGACCAGUAUUUGGUACAAAUUACAACAAUACGUUGGUGCUAGGAAAGGGUAUUCUUCAUGCUGAUCAGCAGUUGAUGGCUGGGGAAGGAACUGCAAGCUGGGUCGAAGCCUACGCGUCAGAUGAAUCCCUGUUCCGCAGGGAUUUUGCCCAAGUGAUGAUGAAGCUUUCAAGCCUUCGAGUCCUGACAAAACCACUUGGACAGAUCAGGCUUAAUUGUUCGCGAGUUGCUUAAGAAGUUUUACACUUCAAUGUGCAUGGCAUCUACUAUUAGAACUACUAUUUUGUUGUUUGAGAAAGUGUGAAAUGUUUUGAGAUGGGUUGUUGUUUUUGUUCAGCUUAGCAUUACUAGAUAGUGUACACACUUUACAUAAAAUUGGGAAUAUAUGUUGUAGAAACUGGCUGGUCCUUUCACCGAAAGAACUUCUUUUCCCUUUUCAAGAGAUUCUGUGUAUUUCUGCAAGCUACAGAACAACAGCAUUGUUUACAGUAAAGAAAUGGUGUUGAUUUAAUUCAUUGAAGAAGAAAAUUAUGGCUGAAGAAAAGUUGUUAUAAUGGCAAAACAUUAGUUAACCCUGCAUUACAAGGGAACUUUUGAGUGAGACCAUAUUUCAACUUCACAAAGUGCGAUCGAAAAAAUUAGUUAACCCUGCAUUGUGGUCGCGGCUCUUCCUUGAAGUCUUUUACUGGUUCACCUGUUGUUGUUUAUGGGUGUAUUGCUGAUUUCACUAUUCUCGGCUACUAUUUCAGGCUUCAGCAAGAUGCUUCCAAAGAAUAGUUCUAGAAGUUUGUUUUGGUUAUUGGAAUAUUACAGCAGAAAUCUUACCUAAACUAAUAAUACUAAUACAUAAUCAGUUUGGAUUCGGAUUUAGAAAUUCAAUAGUUUGGAUUCUAUAAAUUCGGUUGCAACUCUUAUAAAAGUUUGGAUUCUAUAAUUCAAGAGUUUCCAUCUUUUUUCUUAAGUUUUGAAAUAAUCCGCAGAAUUUUCUUUGUCCUUCUCUAUUUGGUUCUUUUGCAACUCUUAUAAGAGUUGGCUGCAAGUUUGCUAAUUCUGCAGAAAAUUUUCAGCUCUUACGCUUAAUUAAGUUGUACUGCAGUUUAUGUUAGCAGUCAAACUAGGCUCUUGCAUUUGGGGCUAUGUCAGAUUCUGCUGCACAAUUUCCUUUGCAGAGAAGACAUUCAUCCAGUCCUGUAUUAUAUUUUGUUGCUAAUAUUUAUUUUUCACUCUUUGAGGCUCAGUUUGGAAUAAUAUUGAGAAAUGAGUAAAUUAGCACUAUCUCACUUGUGCCUGAGAAUAUAUAACUGCAAUAGUGGAAUAUGGAAUGAAUCUCAUAAUCUUAAGGGGCUCAAUUGAGGCGAAAAGAAAAAGGCCUUCUGUUAUUAGGUGAUCAAGAAAUUGCAUAUUUGAUUGGUCCAGAGUUGAAACUUAACCUAUUCACUUAAGCUACAUCUGAAUUCUGAACCCCCUAAUCGGUUACCUAUAAAUGGCCCUGAAAAAGGCUUUCUAGGCAGAAACUUCUACUUUUAAUGCAUGGUUUUAUGAAAUGAAUAAAAACCGGCAAAAGAUGCUCAGGAGGAACUUACAUUUCUAUUUUAUGGAGUUGAACUUUAUAAUAUGUCAUGCGCUAAUAGUUGAAAAUUUAGAUUGUUGAUGCCGAGUUCUGUUUACCAACCUUGGGUCUUACAAGAGAUACUACUAUGCAUGCAAGCAUGCAUGGAAGAAUAUCAUGUCAGAGAAACCAAAUAAUGCUAAGAAACUAAGAUUCACUUGAAGCCAAAUAGAAAACAGGUUGAACAUAAGAUUAAGAAAACAAACAGAAGAUGUAUUAAACUGUGGGCAAAUCACAUUAAUAUCAUAUACUACCAUCAAUAGUUGUAGAAGUACAAAUACAUAAGAGAAUUUUUCCCAAUGUGCUACGAAACACUGAACUUGUAAAAGUAAUAAACUAAUUACCCAAGACAGUUGCAACAUAACAUCAUAUGUGAUCAGAGUGAAAAAUAUACUGAGAGUAUCAAAACAGCAUCAGUUAACUAUCUAAAACAAUUACACACCUACUCUGAAAUCAAAAUGAACAGCGUUUUUGCCUCUUUAUUCACCCAAGGGCGCCUAGCUCACUAUCACAUGCUCUUCUAGUGUGGUCUUUGACAGAUGUAUGACCGACUGCAGAAAAUAACUUGUAGCAAGAACAGUACGCUUGUUCCGCUAUUUCUGUACUGCAAAUCAAACUGAAGCCAAUUUCCUAUACCACCAACAAACCAAAACACUAAUAAUUCCAUUUCCUUGGAAGGUAGCAACCAGUUUCAUAGUCAUGCAUCCAUCCAUCCUCCUCUUCUUCUUCUUCUUCUUCUUCCUCCUCUGCUUGCUGAAGCAAGUAUUUCUCUAACAUUUGAUGUACAUUAUCCUCUCCCAAUUUAAUACUAAAAUCAUCCCCAAGGUCUAUCGUAAGCAAACAACGACAUUCCCUCACAAUCAAAUACAAAUCUUCUCUAGAAAAUAUAAUACCUCGCAGGACGAUAUUACGUACUUGAGGCAGGUUUUUAGCAAUUAGACUUGCACAGCUCUCGACUUGAACUUUUCGGGUUAAUCUUUCAGUUUCAGAGCAGUAGAGUUUAAAUGUAUCCAAAUGCAAUGUGCCCACUACUUGAAGUAACUCUUCUGUCUCUUCACCUUCACACAUUAAGCAAGGACACACAUGUAUCAUCAAACACUCAUAAAGCCAUAAGAGAAAAUUAUAAAUAUUUAGAGACGGCUCAUAUCAAGCCACAAAAAUAAAUAUGUCUUUAAAAUGAAAGAGAAAUAUAACAAACUACAACUACAGCGGUGAAACUCAAAGGUUAAUCGUGCGCGAAGACAGAUAAGCAUCUGAAGUCUGAAGACAUAGUGAUCAAGCGAAAUAGUAUAGUGGUGGGUGACCUCUUGAAGUCUAACAACAGUGCAUUAGUAAUAGCAGUACUAGUGUGGGUGGGUACUCUCUAAAAUGCAGUUUUACAUCCAUCUUUCACGAGUCGAAGUCAAUUGACCUUGGUAAAGUGGGUUCGAUCCAAAUGGGAGUAGGAAAGUUUUUCCUUGAUGUUGUUGGGUAAUGUGGUUGAUGGGUUCCAUCUGCUAAGUUGUAUAUACCCAUGUCUUGAGGAUCAUAUAGCCCCCCGACCUCUCGUUCCAUGGACACGUCAUCUGUGUAAUAUAUGCAAUUGGGUUUGCAACCAGGAAAAUUAGAAACAGUGCGAGAUAUUGAAGAAUUAUCCCCUAAGAACAAAAUGGUGUCACCCAUAUCAUGUAUCUGGCUCCAGGCUAAGCCUGCAGGAUCAAGCUUGAAGACAUCAAAUUUUACAGUGGUGACAUAAUUGUCUUGGCUGCAGCUCCCAAUACAACAAUCAAGUUUUUUAAAAGCCUGCAAUAAUUCCCCUGACGAUGUUUCCACAAGAUACCUUAGACCAUGGGCGGCAAAUAAAUGGGUGGGGGGUGCAAUUUGUGUGACCUUGGGAAUAAUACGUCCUGGUGCUUCUGCUUCUGUGAUGAGGUCAAUUGCUAAAACUUCCCCAGUCUGGAGAACUGCAUAGAAUUGUUGGGUCUUUUUGAAGUAAAUGACAUCCAGAAAAUAACUCCAGUCUUCCCUUUCCCAAUAAAUAGGAGUCCAAUCUUUGUUCUCUGGGGUGUAGAAGGUCAAUUUCCAAACUUGACUCACAAUUGCCAUGACCACAAAGUUUCCGUUGAACAUGGGAUUGCAGGACAACACGGCUUUGCGAAGGUAAAAGAAAAGUCGAUCAUAGAGGUGAUCAUGAUAAACACCAUCCUGUUCCUGCUUGUGUUCCUGUUUUAAAAUCUUAUAGAGUGGAGGUAGAUUGAUAAAAUUAUGCUUGUUAGAAAGAAAAGGGUUGAAUAGUUGAACAUAGUACUUGUAAUAGUAACCGAAUUUCUUUUUUGGUUUCAUUGUUAUGAGCCACCCAAAGCUUGAACCGCGGCAGUAAUAGUUGUGAGGCAAUCUUACCUCAAAAUCACAUACCUUUUGGCUGAGAACGUUGUACAAACUGCGUGUUGUUUGUGCAAUUCGCCUUCUCUUGCGCCGCCUUGGCUCUAAUUGCUUGCCGUUGUAAGUGCUUGGACGUGAAGGGUAUUUGAUUUUGUAAUAAGAUUCGACUUCUUCUUUUUCUUCUUCUUCUUCUUCUUCUUCUUCUUGAUUGUGAUUGUGAUGAAGAGGAAUCAAUAGAAAAGGAGGAAUAGAUGAUGAUGAUUGACCAUGUUUCUUCUUCUUGUUAUUGUAUUCAUCAAAGGCAGUUCGCCACUUAACACAUACUGCUCCAAAAUGAACAUAAUCAUCAAAUAAUAUCAAUCUUUCCAUUAUGCAAUUUAGAGCACAUAUUGGAAGUUGUUCCCAAUUGGGAUCGGCAUAACGAGAAGAAAUCAUCAUCUUAUCUAAUACGAUUCGAUUAAAAGAGGAGAAGGCAGAAGGGCAACAGAUCUAAAUUGAUUUGACCUAAACUGAGUCGAAGGGGUUGUUGCUCUAUUCGCGUUUCUGCGUGUGUCUUAUUUAUAGAUAAAUCUAAGAUACCCGUUUAAAUCCGAAUCAUAUUCGUUCCUAUCAAAAUUUUAGGAUCCAGGACAUUGAUUGUGAAUGGACUUCAGGAGUCUUUUUAUUGGGUAAGCCGUAAGAUUAGGGAGAUCUUAUUGCCACCCACGUAACUCGUCAACAACCCAAUUAGAACUAUUUUUAUUGAAAAACCCAUAAUAAUAAUUUUGUUACUGAAAUACUCUUUUACAUCCAUAACUUAAUUUGUUAAAAACCCAAAAUUGAUAAAACUCUUCUUGAUUUAGAGUAAUAUCCAGGUCGCGGAUACCUGAUAUGGUAAUCCAUCACAAGGUCGGUUUCUCGCGGAUAGUGCUAUCACGCACACUAUACUUCGAAAUAGGCACUUAUUUUUAUAUAUUUUGCCUACAUAUGCUUAUGUGACAACGAUGGCAGGACCACCAAAUUUGAUUCAAAGUCAUGGGAUGGCCCAGUUCUUUUUGCCUAAUGGCACACUGAUUACUGUCACAGACGCUCUUUAUGCUCCUCGAGCUGGAAGAACUCUUUUGAGUUUUAGAGACAUCCGAGCCAACGGAUAUCAUGCGGAAACGCAUUGUGAAAAUGGGACUGAAUUCCUUUGCAGACAUAAGCGCAUCUUAGAAAAACUUAUGUGUCUCUCUAGUGGACUUUAUGUCACCACUAUUCGAGCUAUGAAUCUAACAAUGUCACGAGAGAUGACUUAUCUGAUUCAGACACAUAUUGGCUUUGGCAUGACAGGUUAGGUCAUCAUGGUCGUGAUAUGAUGAUCCGAAUACUAAAGACUUCACACGGACAUCCUUUUUUUUUGUAAUUCGUUGAGCUUUUCAAUAUAAUUUAUUUUUACAUGUUAAAAAUAAAUAAAUAAAAAAAUUUAUUUUUCGGUAUAAAAAAUAGUUAAAUAGUUAGAAAAAAUAAUAAUAAUGAAAUAAAUUCACUCUCCUCUUCGUUCUACAAUCUUUCCCUCUAAAUCUCUCAUUUUUUGUUCUCUUUUUUCACAAUUUCGGUUGCAACUCUUUUCUUCUAUUUGUUUUCUUUCACUUUUCCAAUUUGCUUAUAAACCCUAAUUUUAUUGUUUAUCUAGGUUUGAAAAUUUAGAUAUAUAUUGUCACCAAAUUUCUGAAUUCUUUGUUUUAUUCUUUUCUUCCUUAAUCGUAAAUCGUAUUAGUAUUUUUUCUUCUCAAGUAUGAAUUUUUUAUCAUCUAGAAAUUUAUGAAUGAUUAAAUUCACUAAUGUUAUAAAUCAUCUUAAGAAAGAGUUGUUAGUUAGUCCUUGAAAUUGUGUAAUGUGAUUAAUUCUUCUGAGAAAAUGAAAGUGUGUAAAUUUAACUCUAAUUGUCAACAUUUUCUAAUAAAGCUAUUUAGAGAUACCCCCCCAGAAAAGUUUGUACUCUUUGAGAUACCCCCAGAUUUAAAAAUCAUUAGAGAUACCCCCGAUUUUCAUUUCAAGCCGGUCAACCGAGCCAUUGACCUAUGUUUGACCCAUCUUUAUGUUCUUUAGACCAAAAUACCUAGUCAUCUACUUGUAUGGCAUGUCAGCAAAACCUUUAACAUAAACAAAUUUUACUCACACCCAACACCCAUACCCCAUUAAAUCAUAACCGUCCAUCUCAUGUAAUUUAAACCCAUUGAUCCUAACCACACCCAUACCCCAUUAAUCCAAGAACUUUAAUAGUGGUGGUGGAGAAAUUAGUGGACUUAGUAGUGGUGGUGGAGAAAUUGGUGGUUUUUGUAGUUGUGUUGGGUGAUUUAUGAGUACAAAAGAAGAGAAAAAAAUUGUUUGUGUGAGAAAAAAAAGGAGAGAAGAUUUAGUAGUGGUGGUGGAGGUAUUGGUGGUUGUGGGGUGAUUUAUGAGAAUAAGAGAGAGAAGAUUUUUUUGUGUGAGAAAAAAAUUAGAGAGAAUAUUUAGUAGUGGGGGUGGAGAAAUUGGUAGUUUUAGUAGUGGUGGUGGUGGAGGAAUUGGUGGUUGUGGUUGUAUGGGGUGAUUUAUUAGUAGAAGAGGAGAGAGAAAAUCUAGUAGUUUGGUGGAAGAAUUGGUGGUUUUAAUAGUGGUGGUGGAGGAAUUGGUGGUUGUGGUGGUAUGGGGUGAUUUAUGAGUAGAAGAGGAGAGAGAAGAUUUAGUAGUUUGGUGGAGGAAUUGGUGGUUUUAGAGCAUUCCCAAUGCAAGGUGGAUUUUGGGGGUGGGCUGGAUAAAUCCACCUUGAAACUCAAAAUAAUGUCCCAAGGGAAGGUGGAUUUUCAAAAGUGGGAUCCCACAGGUGGAUUUCAAGGUGGGAGAAUCCACCUUGAAAUCCACCUGUGGGUGGUAGAACCGGACGGCAUGUGUGGUAGAACCGGACGGCAUGUCACAUGCCGUCCGGUUUUUUUUAAAGUUUAAGUAGUGUUUUAAAGCUUUUGGACUCUCGGACAGCAUGUGACAUGCCGUCUGCCUAUUUUUUUGCAAAAAAAAAUGGGACGGCAUGUGUGUAACGCCCUGGGAUUUCGUCCUCGCUCAUCCCGGUGCGUCGAGCACCAUACCGCUCGCUAAUGUCAAUAUUGUCCCUCUUUAGUCACUACGGAUAUCCAGCAGUAGAGGGUUUUGGAUCAGGGCCCACCCAUGUGGUUUACCCCAAAAGGCCUUGAUAUUAGUUAGAGUAUGGUUAAGCUCUAUAUACUACCAACACAACCACUUUCUUGGCACUGUGGGACUAACACCAACUCAUGGGUGUUACAAUCUCACCACCUUAGAAAUAGAGCCGUCAUCGGCUCUGCAGUACGCUCAGUAUAGUCCCAAAAUCUCCGACGUUCCCUGCCAAGUGAGACAAGUACCUGGCGCUCCCUGGGCCUUUCCAGCGUACUUUCCACCUGCAACAGGUGACCCGUCGUCGGCUCUGAUACCAACUGUAACGCCCCUGGGCCUUUCCAGCGUACUUUCCCACCUGCAACAGGCGACCCGUCGUCGGCUCUGAUACCAACUAUAACGCCCUGGGAUUUCGUCCUCGCUUAUCCCGGUGCGUCGAGCACCAUACCGUUCGCUAAUGUCAAUAUUGUCCCUCUUUAGUCACUACGGAUAUCCAGCAGUAGAGGGUUUUGGAUCAGGGCCCACCCAUGUGGUUUACCCCAAAAGGCCUUGACAUUAGUUAGAGUAUGGUUAAGCUCUACAUACUACCAAUACAACCACUUCCUUGGCAAUGUGGGACUAACACCAACUCAUGGGUGUUACAAUCUCACCACCUUAGAAAUAGAGCCGUCCUCGGCUCUGCAGUACACUCAGUACAGUCCCAAAAUCUCCGACGUUCCCUACCAAGUGAGACAAGUAUCUGGCGCUCCUCCGGCCCUUCCAGUGUACUUCCCACCUGCAACAGGCGACCCGUCGUCGGCUCUGAUACCAACUGUAACGCCCCGGGAUUUCGUCCUCGCUCAUCCCGGUGCGUCGAGCACCAUACCGCUCGCUAAUGUCAAUAUUGUCCCUCUUUAGUCACUGCGGAUAUCCAGCAGUAGAGGGUUUUGGAUCAGGGCCCACCCAUGUGGUUUACCCCAAAAGGCCUUGACAUUAGUUAGAGUAUGGUUAAGCUCUAUAUACUACCAACACAAUCACUUCCUUGGCACUGUGGGACUAACACCAACUCAUGGGUGUUACAAUCUCACCACCUUAGAAAUAGAGCCGUCCUCGGCUCUGCAGUACACUCAGUACAGUCCCAAAAUCUCCGACGUUCCCUGCCAAGUGAGACAAGUACCUGGCGCUCUUCCGGCCCUUCCAGCGUACUUCCCACCUGCAACAGGCGACCCGUCGUCGGCUCUGAUACCAACUGUAACGCACUGGGAUUUCGUCCUCGCUCAUCCCGGUGCGUCGAGCACCAUACCGCUCGCUAAUGUCAAUAUUGUCCCUCUUUAGUCACUACGGAUAUCCAGCAGUAGAGGGUUUUGGAUCAGGGCCCACCCAUGUGGUUUACCCCAAAAAGCUUUGACAUUAGUUAGAGUAUGGUUAAGCUCUGUGUACUACCAACACAACCACGGGUUUUACUAGUAUAUAUAUAAAACAAAUCCAUUUAGAAGUCUGCAAGUCGUCCGAGGUCGAGGAGAGAGAAACAAUCGAGAGACAAAGCGAUUCCUCCCUACUUACAAUCGGUAAGUAUUCUCUACUUAUUAUUAUUAUUAUUAUUACUAAUCUCUAAUACGAAUACAUAAUCAGUUUGGAUUCGGAUUUAGAAAUUCAAUAGUUUGGAUUCUAUAAAUUCGGUUGCCAAUCGUCUUCAUCAUCAUCAUCAUCAUCAUCAUCAUCGUUGUGGUCUUUCUAAGUAGUAGUAGGUAAAGAUGUCUACUUUAUCAUCAAUUGAACAACAAAGUUGCUUGGAUUGGUCACAACUACCUGUAGAUGUUCUUAAGAUUUUAGCAAAAAAGAUUAAUUCAAUUGAAGAUCUUUGUAGUUUUGGUGGAGUUUGUACUUCAUGGAGAUGUGUUACUCUUUUAAUUCGAAAUGACCAAAACAAAACACUUCCUUGGUUAAUGCUUACUGCUGAUUUUAAUCAUGGUUAUCGAGAUUUCUAUAGUGUUGCUGAAAACAAGACUUACCGUUUAAAUUUGCCCCAAACUUUUCUCGGCUACCAAUCUUAUGGUUCUCCUUUUGGUUGGUUGUUUAAUUUAGACAGAAGAACAGAGGAAUGUCACCUUUUCAAUCCAUUCUCUUCUUCUUCUUCUUCUUCUUCUCCUACUCGACGUCUUCCCCUUCCACCACUUAGGACGUGUCCUGGUUGGUUUGGUGACGUAGCCGAUUUUCAUCUCAAGCAGUACAUCUUUAAAGCAGCUGUGUUCCAAUUUCCUCACCAGGACUUGAAACAAUAUGACAACCAUAACCAGUUUCUAGUUUUUAUAAUCCAUGGGGUACAUAAGAAUCUGGCAUAUUGUAGAUCAGGCGACGCUUUUUGGACUGGAGUUGCAUUUCCAGAUACGUCAUCAUCGUCUCAAGAUCAACUAGAUAUCUUACAACUCAAUGAUCAAUUUUACUCAGUUGAUUCUCAUGGAAGUAUUUGGUUGCUUUGUGAUGUUGCUUCUGGUGCUCCUAACCCCACAACAGCAAUUCCAUUUGCAUCCCCUCCUCCCAUGUCUGAGCGACUAAAAAAUAGAUGUGAAAGUAUGUUUUCUCUUAUUGAAAUGGGGGGAGAGUUGCAUGUGGCUGUCAGGUUUCAGCGUCGUAAGACCAGGAAGACAUGUCUUAUUGAAAUUUUCAAGUGCGAUCUGUGCACCCGUGAGUGGCAAAAGUUGAAAACAUUAGGAGACUAUGCUCUCUUCUUAGGAACUGGUACCUCCAUCUCUGUAAAGGCGUCUGAGUUCUCUGCAUGCAAUUGCGAGACAGGUUAUAUCUACUUUUGCUAUGCCGACUAUAAUUAUCCUUCAAUACGUGCCCCUCCUGAUAUCGGAAUCAUAGAUGUAGAUAGACAUGAAAUCGAGUAUUUGAAUGUAGGUGAUAAACGUACUCGUCGCUUCUCACUGCCUGCAUGGGUGACUCCAAAGCUACUGUAAAGCCACCCAUGUAUGAAAUUUUCAAACUUUCUGUUAUCAAUGAAUGCUAAUUUAUGGAGACACUCGUCUUUAUUAGUCUAUUUGAUUGAUUAUGAAUGCUCAAGGAUUACAAUUUCAUCUUAAUGGUGUAUUGUAGCUGAUAAUAUAUAAUUCAUAAUUAUUACUUUAUUGUUCUGAUGUUAUUACCACAGUGUUAUUCAAACAGUACUCUUCUAGAGUAGACGGCAUCAAUUGGAGGUGAUAAGAUUGUUGGUAAUUAACAAGUCCUUUAGAUGCUUAUUAUAACAUGUGAAGUAAAAGUAAUUAGUUGAACUCGAUUCAGGAUGUGUUUAUACUUUAUAGUUGCAAUUUCUUUUAUUGGUUUUGCAUUAUGAACUUCUGAUAUUGCAUGCGGCAUUGUUCAAAAUUUCACAUGCACCAUUGCUUAAUUUUUCAACUUCUUUAAUUUGUUGUAGAAGAAGAAGAUGUCUUUAUCAAACUGAAGACACUUCUUAUUGAAAUAUUCAGUUGUGUGAUGUGUCCACCCGCGAGUGGCAAAAGUUGACUACAUUGGGGGGCUAUGCUCUCUUCUUAGGAGCUUCUACCUUCAUCUCUGGAAAGGUGUCCGAUUACUCUGGUGGUCCUUACUAUCACCUGACCACUGGAAGGAGAGACAGUCUUGCAUCUUUUGCUGAUAUCGUGGCUUCUGAGGUCACUUCUCCUCAGGAUGAUCUUUCCAAGACCCUUACAUCCUAUGCUAGUAAAGGAUUUGAUGAAAGAGAGACUGUCAGUCUCUUAGGUAAGCUGACUGUUCUAUCUUCUAUGAGCUUAAUGAAAUCAUUAGAUUUAAUUUAGUAUCUUAUGUGUACAUUCUGUUACUUUUAGUAACAUGGGCUUCACUAUUCAGCAUUAAGCGAGAUUAUUGAUCUUGUUUUCUGUUUUCGACAAAAGAAAUCACUAUUGUUAUUAUUUUGAAAAAGGGAUUUAUUAGUCUUUUCAAUCUGUAGUUGGAUAAAAGUUGGUUUGCCUCAGGUUAAGGGUUUUUGACAUUCUGUUUAAUUUUUAGACUAUAGCUAUUUUUCCUUUUCUCUUAGUAAGUUGUUUACUCAUUGCUGUUGUCAAUGGAGCUAAAAAUGCGCAUUCAACUAAUUUGUCCUGUUCAUUAGUUAUAACUUAUAAUGUUGUUGACUCCGGAGUAAAUGGAUGUAUCUGAUAAAAUUUAAUUUUCUAAUACAUUUGGCAGUCUGGUCAUUAAAACGAAGUUAAUAAAUACUGAUCUUGUUGAUGGACCUAAAUUUACUUAAAUGUGAUUUUUGACAAACUGUAAUUGGUGUUCAUCAGGUGCUUACAGUAUAGGAGUAGCUCACUGCCACUUCUUCCGCAGCCACCUAUGACUUUUCAGUGACUGGCUUACCUGACCCUUCUCUGGAACCUGAAUUUCUUCAUCUGAUGAGGUCAAGAUGUCAUGUAUGCGAUGACAGCAAGAGUCACACAGAGGAUUCAGGGAUGAAUAUGGGCUAUGACGGAGAAACAGGACCAGAGUUUGGUACAAAAUACUACGGGUGCAAGGAAAGGAUAUUCUUCAUGCUGAUCAGCAGUUGAUGGUUGGGGAACAAACUGCAAGCUGGGUCAAAACCUAUGCGUCAGACAAAUCAUUGUUCCGCAGGGACUUUGCCCAAGUGAUGAUGAAGCUUUCAAGCCUUCGAGUCCUGACAAAACCACUAGGACAGAUAAGGCUCAAUUGUUUGAGAGUUGCUUGAGAAGUUUUUCGCUUCAAUGUGCAUGGUACUACUAGACCUACUUUUUCAUUGUUUGAGAAAGCGUGAAAUGCUUUGCGAAGGGAUUUAAGUUUGUGUUGUUUGCUUAGCAUACUUUACAUAUUGGAUGUACGUUAUAUAUGUGUUUUAGAAACCUGGCUGUAACUUCGUUUCCCUUUUCAAGAAAUUCAGGGUAUUUCUAUGCCCUAACAAUGGAUUUGUUUACAGUAAAGAAAUGGUGUUGAUGUAAUUCAUUGGAGGAGAAAAUUAUGGCUGAAGAAAAGUUGUUAUAAUGGUUAAUUUUAGUUUUUAUUUUUUUGGCAAAAAUUUAGUUAACCCUGCUUUAGAAGGGAACUUCGCAAGUGCGCAACAAGAAAGUUUGCGAUACAAAUAACAAGAAAACAUAAAACCAGGGCAGCGAGAAACACUUUUCCACUUCACAAAGUGCGAUUGAAAAGGAACUAUAUUCUUCUCAUUCAUUUGUGAAAAGUUGUGGUCACUGCUGAUAAUAGUUCCUUGAAGUCUUUUACUGGUUUUCAUCUAUCCUUGCCUCCUUGGCAACUAUUUCAGCAAGUUGCUUCCAAAGAAUACUUCUAGAAGUUUGUUUUGGUCAUUGGAAUAUUACAGCAGAAAUCCUAUGUGCAUUUUGAUAUAUUGCUUUCCAUAUUUUUCUUAUGUUUUGAAAUAAUUCGCAGAAUUCUUUUCUCCUUCUCUUUUUGAUUCUUUUGCAAGUCUUAAAAGAUUUGGCUGUAAGUUUGCUACUUCUGCAGAAAAUUUUCAGCUCUGACACUUAAGUUUUACUGCAGUUUAUGUUAGCAUCUGUGAAGUAGAGUCAAACUAGGCUUUUGUGUUUGGGGGGCUAUGUCGGACUCUGCUGCACAUUUAUCCAGUCCUGUAUUAUUUCUUGUUGCUAAUAUUUAUUUUUCACUCUUUGAGGGUCGGUUUCGAAUUAUAUUGAGAAUUGACGUAACGCUAUCUCACUUGUGCUUGAGAAUAUAUGUGACUGCAUAUAGUGGUACAUGGAAUAAAAAUCUCAUUAAUCUUAAGAGGCUCAAUUGAGGCGAAAAGAAAAAGGCAUUCUGUUACUAGGUGAUCAAGAAGUACAAAUACAUAUUUUCUAAAUGUGCUAUGAAUCACUCAACUUGUACAAGUCAUUACGUGCCUAACACAGUUGCAUAAUAACAUCGUAUCUGAUCAAUGUAUUCCAUCUAUAAGUGACAUUGUUUAACCUUGAAUAGCAUGUUACAGAAAAAUGUGAAGAGACAUUCUUCAGACAGACAGCAUCACAUAGCAAUAAAAGACGAUUAUAUUACUAGGCCAAAAUCAAAACUAAUAGUGUUUUUGCCUCUUUAUCCUUCCAAGGGCGCCUAGGUCACUGUCAUGCAGUCUUCUGGUGUUGUCUUUGACAGAUGUAUGAUUAACUGCAGAGGAUAACUGGCUGUAGGUAGCAAGAACAAUACGCUUGUUCCGCAACAUCUCUUGCAAAGUGCUUUGAUUUCCAUGGUGUAACUCAAACUGGAGCCAAUUCUUCCAGAAAUCUGUAUCAUACUGUUGAUCAGCUAAUUGAGAAGCAAAUUUAUAAAUUGCUCGAACUCUGUCAAUUUCUCCCAAGCUAUUCUCUAAUUCAGCGUAUUUCAUCCACAUAACUUUUAUAUCUUUAUCUGGAAGCCCAGAAUUUAUAGCGAGCUCGUAUAUCUCCCUUGUUUUGCAGACACCGAAGAACUUUGCUGCACAAGCAAUGUAUAUGUUGUAAAUACUCAUUUUCUCACUAUCUGGAACAUGCUUUACUGCUUGAUCAUACACAAGCAUUGCGCGCUUUGCAAGACCAAAUUCCUCUUCCAGUUCAGCAUAUUUCAAAUAAAGAGGCUUGGCAUACUCUGCAGGUGCCAUUGCAAGUGCACGAUCAAACAUAUCCCUUGCUCUUUCCAAUUUUUUGUUUCCAUAUCUUUCGACAAAUUUUGAGAUGUAUGUCAUCCAAAUAUCAGCGACGUGAGGAAACUUGAACAUUUGGGUACCCCUUUCAUAAAUCUUGUAAGAAUCCUCAAAGAACUUAUGCUCUUCAAGAAAACUUGCGUACAUGAGAACUAGUUGUGGUGUCGCAAUCUUCAAGUCUAGUAUGUGAUCAUAAACACUUCGAACAGACUCCAAAGUACCUAAACAUUCCUGCAAUUCGGCAUAAAGGGUCCAUAACCUCAGGGACUUGUGUAGCUUCAUCUGCACAGGCAUACUCCCCUUAGCAGCAACUCUCUGCUUCACCUCUAGAGAAGGUUCUGCAGUGGCCCUGCUCACCAGCUCCAAAGCCCCUUCAAAGUUUUUGUGCCUCCUUUCGAACUGAAUCCACUCGCACCAAACUUUAGCCAAAUCAUCAACUGUGUUGUACUGUAUCUGGGUGCCCUUCUCGAAAAUUUCUCUAGCAUUGCAGGUAUCUCCACGCUCCUCAUGCAGCUUUGCAAAGUUAACCCAUAAGGUAUGAGGUUUUCCUACUGCUUUUAUAGGAUCGACAGUCCUCACUGCCUCGGUGUAGGUCAACAAUUGCCUAAGUGGAUCACCCUUGAAGAGCUUCACCCUUUUGUGCCAUUCUUCAACAUCAUGAGGAUUCUGUCGCAAGAGAACAUUGUUUUGAAGCUCAGGCCUCCUGUCAAUAAGAUGUUCUAAGCGGGCCAACCUCAAAUCAACAUUAUCACCCAGUUCCUCUUCUUCAUCACUGGAGAAACAAGGAGAUGCUUCCAAUUUGGAAGCAAGAGCAGUCUCCUCAAACAUGCAGUAAGCAUCAAAAAUCACGCUAAAAUCUCUGACAGUAACAACUGUGGACAUCCCUUCCUCAAAGAUGCCCUGAGCCUUGCCAAAUAAACCUCUGCGAAUGUAGUAAUCUGCAAGGGACGUCCAAAGGCAACCAACCUGGCCUGCAACUUUCUCAAUCCCAGCUCUAAUAAUAUCAUCAACCUUCAAAGCAGAAACGUUAGUAGAAUGCCGACUUAACAACCGGCACAAAUCAACCCACAACUGAUGUUUAUCACUAUAAUCAUUCAAGUCCCGGGUUAAACUCUCAGCAGCUUCUUCCUGCCAAAGGUUAGACUUGAUAAGAAACUGCACAUAAGUAUUGAAGUAAGUAGGAUCAAACUUUAAGUAUCUGCGACGGACUGCAAGAGAAGUCAGUAGGGGCACACCAUCUUGCUCAACAAAUUGUAAAUAAAGGCUCCAAAUCCUAUCAUGUUGAGUGAUAGGAAGCGCAUUGAGAGCUCGAUCAAAGGUACGAUGAGUUUUAGUAAUAAUAAGCUCCUGAUCCAUCAAGUGAUUCAAAUACAUAAGCCAAAUGCAUGGCAUCUUAUGCAUAAUCGCCAGCACCCGUUCGAAACAAUUGUUUAAAGACUCAUAACGUGGGUGUGUUAUAGGAAGAGACUUCACAAUUUCGCGACACUCGGAGAGAUAUGUAGACCAAAUCUUAUAGCUAACUGGUGAAGCUUUGAGUGGUUCCAUCUCCAUGAACAUAUUUUCAAAGAAUUGUCCUAAGGUUUAUUGUUCUGAAAUCUGAAUUCUUUCUAACGUGACCCCUUUUAUAUAUGAAAGUCGAGAACAACCCCGAUUCAAAUUCUGACUUGAGUGACUUCUAAACAGUUUCUUAAAAGAAGAAGGGUAUAUUUGGAAGUUAGUUUAUACUCCAUAGUCAACGGUCAAGCAAAACAUCGAGAUUAGUAUAGAAUAUCUCUGUGCUGUGAAGUCCCAAGUCGCGUGAAGCACUCUAUUCUAUUUAAUUAGUGUACAUCGAAAUCCACUAGAAAGUCUCUCCACAUAAAGACAAAAUUAUAUAACAAACUUUCUGUUAAAACUUACCUCUCUCUCUCUCUCUCUCUCUCUCUCUCUUCUCUAAGCUUGUUGAAUAAAUUUUCGCCAUUAACACUCUUCUGCAACUUAAGUUUCAAGAAAGAAGAAGAAAGAGAGAGAAGAAAAUGUGGGAAAUUGCAAAGAAAUUAGGUGUUUUAGUGUUAACAGUUUCAUUAGUUGUGUCACUUGCUAAUCAAAGUGGAGAACAACAAAAGAAUGGUAGUGGUGGUAGUUUAGAUUCUUCGAGUUUUUCAUGGAUUCGUCCUUUGCUUUUCUCUAAUAAUGAUAUGAAGAUGAUCAAUUUCAAUGAAAAUACACUUGAAUAUGAUUUCUAUCGAGAUUCUUGUCCACAAGCUGAACAGAUUGUUCGAUCAACCAUUCAUCGUCUUUACAAGAAACAUUCUAGUGUUGCUCCAGCUUUGCUCCGAUUACUCUUCCAUGAUUGCUUCAUUCAGGUAGCUUUUACUCAGUUUUUAGAUAUUUUACUUAAUUGGCUUCUUUGUUGUCUUUGUUCUUGUUAUCUUUGAAUGGAGUUUUGAUUUGGGUUCUAUUUGUUUGAUUUUGGGUCUCAAUGAGGGUAGAGGGUUCUAUUAAUUCAGAUUUGUUAAUUUCAUCUUUGUCUGAAGUUAUGAUGUUGGUUCUUGUUGUUUCGAUUGCAUUUGCUUGUUAUUGAUUUAAUGGGAUUGAUUCAGGGAUGUGAUGCUUCAGUUCUUUUGGAUUCAACUUCUGAAUUUCAGUCAGAGAAAGACACUCCACCCAAUCAGACUUUGAAAGGUUUCCAUAUAAUCGAAACAAUCAAAUCGAAAUUGGAAGAAGUAUGUCCUGCAACUGUUUCUUGUGCUGAUAUUCUAGUUCUUGCAGCUAGAGAAGGAGUUUCUUUGGUAAUGUAUUGAGUUUAUUUGUUGAUUGUCUUUUUUUUUUUUGCUAUUUGUUUCGUCGAUUUUGCUCUUCUGAUUGUUGUCAUCACAGGCUGGUGGUCCUUACUAUCCUCUGCUU
RNAcentral lists this long non-coding RNA (26429 nucleotides) under Aquilegia coerulea. Its description in RNAcentral is "long non-coding RNA (ACOE_LNC001327)". Lineage: Eukaryota; Viridiplantae; Streptophyta; Magnoliopsida; Ranunculales; Ranunculaceae. The record is from RNAcentral.